This is a long non-coding RNA of Gasterosteus aculeatus aculeatus (three-spined stickleback), 34135 nucleotides long. Lineage: Eukaryota; Metazoa; Chordata; Actinopteri; Perciformes; Gasterosteidae. The record is from Ensembl.
GGUCAACUCUGGCGGCAGGAACAAAGUGGACUUGACAAGUGUGAAAGAUUUAGUGCGGGGCGUUUAGAGUGAUCAUCUUUUCCCCUUUGUCAGCAGGUGGAGAAAUGUCUCCGUCCUUCCUGUGUCCUCGACGCAGGUCUGAUGGCACAGGGGGAAAUCCUGUCUCAGCUCAUGUCCCCCCCCCCCCCCCCCCCCCCCGCUGGGAUGUGGAGGUACGCUCGGUUUCAUCGCCCUGUUCAUGACUGUUAUUGCUCAAAAGUGGAAGAUUAUGAUUACCUGGAAGCCUCAGUCCCGGCUCUGUUUCUGCCUGCAGAGUAACGGCGAGUAUUCCAGGUCCAAAGGGAUGAAUUUAAUCUGCAGAUGGUUAUCAAUCUAAAAGUGGUUUUGCCCUCUUGAAAGGGAUCUCCAUGCUUUUGUUGUCAAGUUGUAUUUCAACCAUUUCCUCCCGUGUUCAUUCGCUCUCACUCACAACUCCCCUCUGUAUUAUACGGCUUAAUUUUGCUGAAGAGCUGCAAAUGUCACAGUUCAGUGGAAUUUUGAGGCCUCUAAAAUCCCAGAGACUGUGCCUGAUAGAUUUCAGUAAACUAUGAAAUUAAAUAAGGAACCUCCUGUGUGAAUUGGAUUUAAAUAUUCCUAUUACUCCGGCAAAUGAAUAAGAAGAAAAGUAAGAUUAACUUUUAAAUGAUGGUGAGAAUCCUCCAGUGCUACGGCUUCAGAACGAGGUCAUUAGUGUAAGUGUGAUGCUUCAUAAUCCCUCCCAGCGGCGAGCGGGACACCGCACAUCCAUAUCGACUCCCCACAGAUAAAAGUAUUUAUUUCAGGAUCUUUCCUGGACAGUGAGGACAAACAACAGUAAGCCACGAAUCCACCUCCAUGUGAUGGAUCCAGGUGAAAACAAGCUUCACGCUCCCCGCGGCCUCAUUCAUCACCCGAUUAUCAUUCAUGUCUGUUGAGGGUUUCCAUGAUUGUAGCUUGGAUUAUUUCAGAAAGUCGAUGUAUUUCCAAUAUUUUCCUUCUUCCACCAAACGAUUGCGAAAACAUUACAUCAACAACAACAAGGACUACAUUUGCGCGGAGAAGGUUUUAACUUCACUUUGAGUCCUUAGCCUUUUGAAGUAUUGCAGAGCAUGAGCUUACAUUUCAUUUCGCCCAGGCUUUGCACCUGAGACACACACACACACACCUUUAAGAUGCAAUGAAAGGAAAUAAUAACUGAAGCUCUCUGAAUUAAUUAACUCGAGUAUAAACUUGACUUUGAUUGCAAAGCGAAAUUGGCUUUGACUUGACUUCUAGUUGUCAUUCAUCUUUUGGGGCAGCUGAAACCUUUCAGGCUUUAACCUGCUGUGUAUUUUGGCCUUUGCGAGAGAAAGAGAGGCAAACAUCUGGAUUCUUCCCAUGAUUGUCAGGAAGCACUUUCUUGUUUUGUUGCUUCCACCCCAGGUUCUUGCCAAACGUACAGCACAUCCUGCUUUUUGUUCCCCUCCAAGAACAUCUUCUAACACGGCGCUGCUCAGAACCGUCAUUCUACAGAGUCGAUCGCACCUCCUCUCAGCCAACGCGUGACCUUUGUAAAGGCCUCACGAAACAAAGAUCGGCUCCUGGCCGUUUCCUAGGGGGGGGGGGGGGGGGGCGAUCGCCACCUUAUGACAGGAGUUUAUUGUCGACCCAUUAUGCUUGAUGGAAUGAAUAGAAUGAGUCUUCUCAUUUUGCAGCAGAUGCCAGAGAGGACAAGGAGUCUUUUGACAACAGAUCAAUGGGUCUACUGCACGAAGCGAUUUGUUCUUCAGCUCCUUGUGAGAGCGCUUUGGGAAAAAUUGCUGCAUUCACCGAUUUUCUUGCAUGUUGCUCUGUCUCUCUCUCUCUCAGGGACAUGCACAGCUUGACCAUUCAUGUGCAACGUUCGACUUUUUAGAGAGCUGUUAACUAUCGGGUUGCACAUACCAUCACUCUGUAGUCAUUUUUAAUUUGAAAACCAUAGAAAUUGCUCUCCAUAGUUAUGUUGACAUUGUCCUUUUUGAUAUCCGAUAAUGUGAUGAAAAAUGUUUUCACGUUCAUUUAAAUUGGCUAUCGACGCCGCUUUGUAGCACCACAAUAUCAAUGUGAGCGUCUGCAAAACCUCCGUAAUGCUUUGUCCCCGUUCCGUCGCAGUAAUCAAUGGCCUUGUUGUGGCGACUUGUUUCAUAUGGAAGCAUUUCAGUCACAUUAUGGGUUGGCAUCAACAAAACUUGUUAUUUCCCCCUAUUUGAUUCUGCUGCUGAGGCCUUUUCCUUAUUUCCUUCGACGUAUAUGAUAUUAAUGGGACUUUAAUGACGCUGAUUGACAUAUCUGAAAAAAUACGCAAAACUGUAUACCACCAAACUCAAUUUCUGACUUUCAACCUGUCACUCACAUGUUUAGUGCCUUUUCUGUGUCACAUCUGCCGUAUACAAUUAAAAUCAAGGAUGUAACCAAAUGUGCUUUGUGGUCCUGUGAGUGUGGUUCCCUGGCAGAGAGCUCUCACUUCAGCUGCUGUGCUGCUAAGAAGGUUUACUAGUUGAUAUAUUUUCAUCUGAUAAAAUGACAAUUAGUGGAAAGCUGGCGGUAAGGAUCCUUAAUAUGUGCAGAAGAAUCCAGGCCUCUUUCCUCCAGAGCAUUUCCAAUUAAAUACGGUAUUUUCAGAUGGAACUAUUGAUAUCUGUAUGCCAACACUUUUUGAAGAUGUAGUGGGAAAUCACAUUUGCUCGGAUAGAUGAAGAUGAGAGAGCUUUUAUAAUGACCCCUUCCAGCCUUUGGGUUCAACGGCGAGAGUAUGAGACACUUCUCGCAGCUGUUCAGAAGAAGAAACAUCGGGCUACAAGCAAAAUAUGGCAAAGUAAAUGAAAGCACUUCAAAUGAGAAACUAAAUAUGAUGAACUGAAAUCCAUUGUUAUUCCUCAGGAAACGUUAGUUGAGAUGUAUUCACUCUAGAUUUGAUUUGACAAGUCUGAGUUUAAGACGCCAUAGAAUUAAGAGAACCAUUAAAUACUGUAUUUCCUCAAAAAGGUACUUCAAACUGCAUUUGAAAUAUUGUGGGGGUGGUCGUUAUACAUAUGGGAAAUGCCAUAAACCUGCCUUAAAGGGAAUUUUUAGGAGUCUUGGAUUUCUAAUAAAAAUCACUUUCAGAUCCCGAAAAUAAGGGUGCUCUUUGUGAGCCGGUGGGAGCUGUUCGGCGCCCCACUUUGAAUUCCUACAGAGGAGCAUUGUCUUUGAAAAGGCGCUUCAUGUUUCAAACAGACGGCCCAUGAAAUGAAAGAGUAAGCAUCGGAUAAAAAGAGUCAGUGUUGAUGAUGGUUAGAGAGGCGAGGCGGGAGGAAGCAGCCGGCUAUGUCUCAUUUGGGCCUCAUUCACACCAAAGAGACAAUGGGCCAUUAUAUUGUGACAGGUUUACGGCUCGGUGUCGUUUGUGAAUGAUGAACAAUACGGGGCCAUAACAAGUCAAGGCAAAUGACGACUGCGCCACUGCAACACGGCAACAACAUGCAGAUUCAGCAAGAAACAAAAACUCCGGCGGCUGGAUCGCGGCUUUGGCAAAUGGCUCCAUAAGUCUCCCUUGUCACUUACGUGUACGCUCCCUCGUGCGAUCCAUCACGGCGGUGAUUGGAACCAGCGUGGAGCUCGGGUCAGCCGGCCCCUUUAAGGGAGUGCGGGGAGAGGGAGACUUGGCGUGGUUGGCCCGCUUAAAGGUGAUGUAAACAGGCCCUGAUGGAUGAAGGACCUCCGUCCAUCCAUCAUGCUUCUGUCCUGAAGCGCCUUAAUCUUCUGCAAACACAAUCCUGCCACCGCGCCCCUCAUCUCUCCCGCCUUGUCCCUCAAGUCCUUAAUAUCCCUUCGUUUGGGGACCUUGUUGCCAGAGUAACCGACACACUCGCUGGACAAAAAGAAAUGACACCGUCGAGAGGUUUAAUGCGCCGAAGAGCGUGGGCGAGAGGCCUCCUGAGCUGAGACUUUUCUUAAUGUACCAGCCUCAUUAUUUAUGACUUUUUAUGGAUGAAAAAUGCAGGACCAAACAAUUGUUGACAUCUCAUUAUUUGAUAGCACCCUGCCUGUUGUGCUCUGCUAUGAGGCAGUCCUCUCAACCAUCCGGUUUGUCUGAGUACUUUGAGUACCAAAACAACUCAAACCAAACGGGUCAGGACAGAACUGAGGAAGUCAGUAGGUAAGUUCUAAACGUGCACGUGGUUGGCGGUGAGGCCCUCUUCAUUCCGACACGUUUCAGUUCUGGAACUCGCUUUGACCUUCAAUUGACUGGAGGUGUUUUGGCAGGCACCCAUGCUAACGGUGGCCUAGCCUGUCUCAGCUAAACGACGUAAGGCUUCACGGCCCGAUGGGAACUAUCGUACACCAUUGCAAUGUUGGACCACAGACGACUCCACAUCUUGGUGGGCAGAUGGAACGGUUGCCUUACAGUGAUGAGUGUGGGUAACACUACUUCUGGGGCCAUUUUCCGAUGGUAGCAGGAGGAAGCUGAGCAGAUCAGGAGGGGAGGAUCAUAGAUGAUCAUAGAUGAUGGGACCACAGGAAUCCUGAUAUGUCAUAACUGCUUCGCUGAUAAACGCUCGUCUAAAAGAGAGACAGACUGUGGUCAAAUGUUAAUUCUGAAAUAGUCAUUUUAACGUGGAAUUGAGUCCCAGUUUCCAUAAUUUACACACGUGUGGAAGACUUUCCCGGCCUCAACAGUGACCCCCACCCCUCCCCACCUCACCUAACACCUCUGGAAGGAAUUGGAGCCAGGUGUUAUCAUCCGAUAUCAGCGGCGGACCGUAAAAAUGUUCCCGAGGUUGAUUGGGAGCAAAUCCCUGCAGAGCGAUUCCACAAUCUUUCACCAGCUUUCUCCAAAAACUGGAAGCUCUUCCCGGGACAACUUAAUGGCAAAGCUUGAGGGGAAAUGAAUUCCGGAGCCACAUUAGUGGGUUCUGUUCUGCUGGCAGUCUGUACGGGUUUGGUUGCUCCACGAUACCGACGAGUCAUUACUGGACCCAACACAUGUUCAACCUCUCCUGCUUCACUUUUUUACUCCGACCACAGAGAACAGGGCGGUCCACCGUGUCCACAUGUUGCCGUUCAGAGAGGCUUCACGCCGAAUCGUUUGUCCAUCACUAACGUAGGACUGAACACACAAAAGCCAGUUUAUUACCCUCCCUUCUCCCUCUUCAUGUCCUCCCACUCGCACACAAACAGCAGAGGUGAGAUGUUUGAAGUAGCGGGUUGUCAGUCAGUGUUGCGCGUGAAACCGGGUUGCCAUGUUAUCCAGUUUGUAGUUUGUGGUUAUUUUACAAAAAGGAGUCACUCUCUGCCGUGUCCUUGCCGUGUCCCUGCCGUGUCCUUGCCGUGUCCCUGCCGUGUCCACCCCAGGCUGCACCCAUCGCUUGAGUGGGAAGUUUACCGCGGCAGUAACCUUGUAGUGAAAAGCACACCGAAAAAAUACAAAAAUGUUUUUGCUUUUGACAUCCGACGAUGGAGGAGAUGAAAUGUUUCUGAGGAUCUUUGGCGGAACCAGAAACUGCUGAUGAAGCAGAUGAGCAUUAGAUAAGACAUUUCUGUAUGUAUGUAACUAUUUUGAGUCAUCUUCCGCAGGCCUUUGAAUAAAUGUGUGAGUAACAUGAACGAUGGUUGGCUGAUACAAAACAAAGGAAGCGCUCCAUGUAGCAUUUAUAGCUUGGCUUUUUUUAUCCGGCUCAUUUCAGCCCCUCGUGUGAUUUCUGCACUGCUGUCUAAUUUCAUCCGUCGCCCUUUGUCUCCGCGUUUAAAAUCAACCCGUGAGAUUAUUUCUCCCUUCAGAGCAGCUCAGCCUCCAAGAAACAUUUUCAUAACUUAAACCCCCAUCUACUCCCAUCCAAGUCGUGAUUACGCUGGAUAUUGAGUAAAUAUGAUCACAUCUAACACGGCGGUGCAGCACUUCCGCCCUAAUGCCGCUGCCACUGUGUGUGCCAACAUGUUAUUGGCACAUCCGCAACAAAACACUGACUGGGGGGAAUAAAGUGCCCGAGGACUUACAGUGUGAGAGCUUUAUUUGGCAAAAGACAGAAAGAUGUGUUCAAUAGAGUGCUUUCCUGAAAUAAAUACUGCCUGUGAAGAGUCCUCCACAUGUUGGUGCUGAGAUUCAGGAGAUGUGCUUAGAAACAGUGAUUCACAAAGACGGAUUUCGUCAACCGUCGAGUGUGGAGCUUUUUGUUGUUUUUUCCGCUGCUCUGCUUGACAUCAGCGUGUGAGAGAUGAAAAGAGCCCCACCAACAAUCUGUCAUUCGCUAGUAGGAAUAUUAUCUGUGGAAAUGCAGGAGAAAAUGAAAUAUGAUAAGCACGAGGAAACAAUCAAUACGGCGGGAGUUUUCUCCUCGACUUGUCUGGGAGGCGCUGUAACGGCGUUCGGGGUUAUCGAUGGACCCGGUUCCCUAAAGUCUAACCGGAGGAGUUUACUGCAUGAUACUUUUAUGGGGGGGACUAAACAAAGCCUCAGUCAAAACUCGCUACGCUGCCGGCUGUGUGAGGUUUAAAUGUGGAACGCGAAAAGAAGAACAUUCCCGUUUCUGAUGUUUCUUCUCCGACGCCACCUGGUCCCCUCCUUCAUCCUUUAACCCGUCUCACCCCCCCCACCGCCACCGCCAUUAAUCACCCAUUAAUCCUCAUUGAGUCCCACGUGAUUUACUGAUGCUUGGCCUAAAACACACACCGGGCUCUUUCAUAUGUUGUUGUUUUUUUUUGUUCUCUCGCCAGCACAAUUUAUACGUGGUAAUUAUCGAGGCGUUCCCUCGUGGGUUUGGUGUCCUUUGAGGGAAGAAAGGACUCCCGGGCCUUAGAUGGAUGUGUUGUUUUAUCUUGGCUUGCGGAGUGUAAAAUCACAGAAAACGCUUCCCCCGGGCUGCGAGUCAGCAACAGGUCUGUGGAACCCGCGCGAGGCAAAUGCUAAUAAUAAACACAGCACACGUCUUACUUUUCUUUUUCUCACAGCCUCUGUAGUCUCUUCAGAGGGUGACGUGAAUCCCAUCACCGGCGAGACCUUUUCCCACGUCUCGGACGAUGUUUGGACAAUCACCAGCGACACUCCGCUGCUAUCAAGUCUCCGAAGACGUCCGCACUGAUUCCUCAUGUCAGUGGAAUGAAGAGAGGAGGAUUUAACUGGCUCUGCCGGUGUGGCGGACAUCUCCACCGCCGAGGUCAUCAUAAUUCACUCACAAAGUCGUCCAAACAAGAGGCGCCCCGAGUAGCGCUCACCUGCCCCGUGGAGCCUCUCGCCUCUCGCACUUUGCCCGGCAGCGUUGGCGCUUCACUCCCGGCGAUCCAGAUGGCGGCCACGUGACCCGGGAAGGUCAGCCGCCCGCCAGUCUGGACGGCAGGAGGAUUAGCGCGCGGGCUAAUCUGUGCAAAUGUGUCCCUCGUCUUUUGCAGCAGAGCCGAGGAGGCAGAGCGAGACGAGUCUCACCAGAGAGCCCCGGCGCGAGACGAGCGGCGCUGUGGCCUCAGUCCUCGCGAGCAGGUGGGGGCGCUAGUCAUCACCAGCGCCUCCCUCCCAUUCUGUCCAUAGUGUCCAUAGCUCGCACUCUCUCACAAUCUGCACUCGUGGACAAAUCGAUGCAAACGGGGGGGACGUGUAAUCAGUUAAUGCGAAUCAACGCAUGCUGAGUUGCAAAGUGAGAUUCAGCAUCGGUAAUUUUCCCACCGAUGUAAUUCCUUCUUUGUCAUUGUUGCUUUGACAAUAUGACCUUCAUAGCCGGGGGGGAGAAACAGAAGAAGCGAGGCCUUAAGUGCUUCAGGGUGUGAAGUAAAAUGAAGUGCGAUAACAAGGUAGUGGGACGGAUUUAAGUGAAUGCAGUAAUGGACCUUUCAGAACACUGUAGGCCGGAUUGUUUCACCAACAUGUUUCCCUGACAAGCGCCUUUCCUGCAGUUGUGCAAAUAAUGACUGUAAUCUGUCAGCGGCAGAGGCAGCAGAAGCUCGACAGCUUCAUGCUGCUGCGACGCGUCUGGAGGAGAAAGUCCUGCUGGAUUUUUAGCCGUGCGAAGCGUGCAACACAAGGGUCCAUGGCAACGCUGCAGCUCAGAAAACCCCAGUUGUUUUCAAAUCGGCAAAAUGGGUCAUUCUGAAAGACACCGAAGAAAUGGACUUAUUUUGACGUUUAGUUUUGAUGUUACAGAAUCUAAAAUAGACCAGAAAUAAGAGGCUGCUUUUGAUGAGGUGGACUUAUAAAUGAGACGCUGAAUGGUAAUUAUAGUUAACUUUUAAGCUGUGUGGUUCCAUCCCCCCCAACACAUAUUCAUGGGCAGUGACUUUAAUUUAGAGAUUCAAUCCAGCAAAAUUCAAACCGACUUUUGAACUUUUAUGCAUCUGGUCCAAAAGUCCAAACCCGACUCUGAGAGUUGUAGUUGAUGUCCUUUUUUAUUUCCCUCACCUUCCUCUCGCAGUGGAUAUUCCAGAGUUAUUUCACUCUUGCCUCAGGGAUAACAGAGGAGCUCGCGGUUCUGCUGUAGCCAAGAGUUAAUAAAUAACAAGCAAGCAUAAUGGGAAUUUGUAAGGAAAGUGAAAUAGCAAUAAUAACACGGUGCUGCACUUGAACAUUUUCCAAUACAGAGCGUUUUUCAAACGAUAUUGUGACUUCUAGCUUUCCAACAUUUAUGUCACAGAAGUGACAAUGUACAAGUAGCAAAAUGAUUUGAUUCCAAAUCGAGCUAAAGCAAAGUUCACCUUGUUUUUGUUUUUUUACAUAAGUGGUAUUAGUACAGAUGAUAAGUACAGAAAAUAAUUGGCUGGGGACUUGGUUUCCACACUCCACACUGGUUCUGCCGGGCGACCCCACAUGACCUCCACUCAGCGACCCCCAGUGCUCAACUUGAGAAUAGUUACGUGGAUAAAACAGUCUCCUUGUUGUGUAACAAUCACACAACAGCUCUACCCGCAGCGGACCGAUUUAACCAGGAAGAACGUAUCUGCCUCCCGAGUUCCACCUUUUGGAGGAAGUGGGUGGAACUAAAAAUCCAAUCUGCUCGCCCUAAGCCUCCUUGAAAUCACUCCCACCUUCAGCCGCCGGUUCUCCGUGUCGCUCGAGGACACUCCAACACCAAAUGACACGUUGGCCGUCACAGAGAUGCAACCCGCGGCCCUCCAGUUCGACAGCCCUCCUCCCUCGGUGCCGGGGGGGGGGGGGGUUGUGCAUUUGCACCGGCACAAAUUAUAAAAACAGGAAAAACAGAAGUCCUUGUGGGACUCCAGGCCGGGAGGUAGAGCGGGGAAGGCGAGUCCUGGAGAGGCCUAUGAAGAACGACUCACCGGGGGCUCGUUUCACUCCGUCGGCAACAACAAGCCGCCGGGCGGCUCGCUGCGAGUCACUCAGUGUCUUAUUAGAGCGUACGCCGGGCCGAGGAGGAACACCUUAUCAACCAGAUGUGAGCGGCUGUGAUAGAUGUGCUGUAUCCAGCUGCAUUGAGCCGAUAAGCACCCAAAUGAAAUUCUCUCUACAUGCGUGCUCUAAUUAAAAAGAGUCGCUCAGGUCUCAGAAAGUCCCCAUUUGAUGUAGUUAAUCUUUGUUUAAAAUGAUGCAAGUAGCGCACCGCCGCCGCGCCGUGGGUUCUCCACAUCUCGGGUUGAUAAUUAUAUAUGAAUCGCAAUGCUCUCUUUUCUCCUGACCACCUGCUGCUCGCGCCGCCGUCUCUGUACACGGAAGGUGACGCGAUCAGUAUUCAGCCGGCUUCUCCCCCUCCUGUCGUUUCUCACAAAGCAGCCCUAGGGGCAUUAGCGGUGAACCCCUACCCACAUGGGGCCUGUUGGUCGCCCUGACACCUGUCUCCCUCACGUUGACCCCCGGUCACGCCAUGGAUCACGCUACAAUGCCUCGGAGCCUGAGUCCGCCGCCACGGCCAGACAUUGACGGGCAGCCUCGGCCGGCCAACAUGCAGAUGGGCUUUUGGAAAACAUUUAAAUUAAAAGUAUCGCCGGCAGGAUCAUUUUUAUUUGAACAAGUCUGGCUCGGCAUUGAUUCAGCUGAGGGGGACACCUAAUGGAAUUAGAAACUUUUCCACAAUUGACUUGGGUUAUAAUUGUGAGUGAGUGGAUAGAAGGGAAAACAACAAGACAUACAUUUACCUUUUUUAGUGGAAGCAUUUAGUCAUUUUUCGUAACGUUCCAAAGUGAAUGGGUUCGGGGACAUUCCAGGAACCUUGUCUUUAACAUGAUAAGUCACUGAACCGGUACGAAUGGCCAAACCCAACAUAAAUAUACACAUAGCACUUGAUCAUGUCUACCUGUGGUCCACGAUAUCGGCCCAUUAGAGUGUUUUUGUUGAAAGUGGGGUUAGUGUUUCUGGCAUCGUGUCUGGUGCAGAGAACACAAUAUGGUUUAUGGAUCGAGUUCACUCAAUACUGCUGCAUUUUCCUCUUGUUACUCAUUACUCAUUCAUGCUGGCUCCUGUCAGGUUACGACUGCAUUAGAAUCUGUUUAAAUGUUGUUUGAAUUAUUUCACUGAAACAUAGUGCUUUAUAUGCGAAUUUUCUGCAAAUGUGCUUUGUCGCUGUUUUGCAAAGUGCAUAAUUUUUGUUGGACCUUAAUCUGCAAAACUGUGCUAAAUUCUCAUAUAUAAUUGAAUGGUUUUUGUAAUUAUUGAAAUAUCAGCAUUUUGUGUGUUUGCAAACACUUCCUGGUCAAUAGCGGGUGUGCAAAAAAUACUGAUGCAACCAAAUACUGAUGCAACCAAACCCUGAAGCGUGAAGCAGACAUUAUGCCAAUAUACAGUUGACUGCCUAUAUUUGGAUUUUCUGACAAUAUGUUUAAAUGCUGAACACAAUGAAAAAGCACCUGACAUUGCUCUUCCUGUCUGUCCCACCGUACCUGUCUGAAAGGAUCUGUAGCGCCGUGCCACAGGAGACAACAAUGUAUGGUCCACCUUUGCAAAGUUCUCUCGGCGUGGGUGGAGAUGCUCGCAGGCGGUGGACGGUUCCCUCUAAUGAGCCUGCUUGUGACAUGGGAAGAGGAGCCAAUGGCUUGUUGAUUCACAUAACCCCCCCCCCCAAAAAAGUGAGUUCUGUUACUGCAGAGUCGCUUGGUUGGUAGGAACUCAUGAUAUAUCCCCUUUAAUAAGUUAAUAAGUUAAGGCUAAUCUCCCUUACUGUCGUUGACCUGAUUUUACCGGCGCCAAUAUGCAGCGCUGACUCAGCAAAGUUCUACCAGCCGCAACUUUUCUGCUGCUGAAGCAAACUGUUCCAACACUCGUUCCAACAUAGCGAGCCGUGAAAGUGACUCUGUGCUUUACCUCUGAACUGCACGCAGUCAUUUACUUUUCCACAGGACCAAAACACAGCGUAAAGCUGAGUGCCUUUUCAUUCUGACCACCGGUGCACCAAUUUAAGGAUGCGUUCCUUUCUGUUGGAAGGAACAACCACGCUCUCACGUGAAGAGCGAUUCACUUGGCAGGCAACGAUGCCUCGUCCCAAAAAAGAAAAAAUGUGCUCUUAUGAGAGCCAGAAGGGGAAUUACUUAUUUCCUUUAUUAAUUAAUACCGAACAAUGUACACGAUCUCGCAGGCUAAGUGCCUUACCUUAUUAGCUAAAGGAUUUUAUGGAUUUGAAAUGCAUGUUAAUUGAACAGCCUCAAAUUACAGACAGUCAAGGUCAAUUUGCUCCUAUUUUACACCCCUCGAUGAAGCGCUCCCAGAUCUGAUCCGGGGCCUUUGUGGUUCCAGAUGUGUGGAUCAGAACAUCCGUUCUCCAUUCAUCCAGAGCGAUUAUCUGCAUCUCCUGAGCAGCCCCUCAAACCCGCCACGGGUACGAAGUAAAGUGAGCUUAAUGUCGUUACGUUCAACCUAAUGCAUUCUAAAUAAGAGCGUCUGUUUAGAUUUAUAUUAUAUUUAUCAUUCCGUGCCGUACGCUUCUAUUCUUCUACUCUACUGGUUCCUUUCCUCAAGCCGCAUCGCAUUACUUUGCUGCUGAAACAACCCGGAUUGAUCAGCUCGGUGCUGUGUGACCAUAACUAGCUCCCUUCGAGAAACAAAAUGAAUGUGAAUUUCGACCACAGCAAAUUCCUGACUAGGCGAGGGAUCGUUUUAGCGCUAUUUAUUAGAUAUAUUGACAUUGAUGUGGAGCUUUAGCCUGUGUGCAGUUCCAGUGAUUAACAGGAAAUUAAGUUGUGUUUUUGACUUGGCGUUCCGCCGUCUCUCUCUAUCUGCCGCAAUGUCACCGGCUUCCAGAUAAUGAUGUCCUCUGCAUUUCAGCGAGGGAACAUUUCCCCAGCCAUUCAUCAAUGUCCCCUUCCCCGUGUACAGUCUGCCGCGUACAACUCGCCUCUGCAGCCGCCGUGCGGGCUCGCGAGGACUGAGGCCACAGCGCCGCUCGUCUCGCGCCGGGGCUCUCUGGUGAGAAACGACACUCAAUUUGUUUCCCAUCAUGCUACCUGGGCAGUCACGUAUGAUUAACUUACCCCUGCCAAGUGACCCGUGACGUGUUUUUUCACCCGUUUUACCGGGGCCAUCACAGCGCAGACAGCCGCUGACUCACGGAGCGCAGGGUAAUGGAUUUAACCUCACACUGUGUUGUUUUUUCCAGCGCCGCACUUGCAUCUGCCGGCGAUGUUCUCUUCUGUCGGCCUUUCAACAUGCAACAUUAUUUGGAAAAACUCCUCGGAAACCGCUGGCGAUGCCUUUAAGUGUGAGGAUUCGCUCUAUUUGCGCUCCGGCCCACUGGAGGAAACCUUUCUGACACCAGUGCUUUUUUUGAACACAGCGAUGCACUUUGAUGCUUUCAAGUGCAGGAGCUGUAAAGUACAGCGUCGUGCAGAAACUAGUCCAGUGACUUCUUUACACCAGCUCCAGGUGUGAUAAGAAGGAAAAAAAUGAAAUUCAAACCCAUGCAUGUUGCAAACGAAGACGAGGAAACGUGACCGUGGCUGCUUUUGAUCAUUAACAACGUGCAAGGAAGGUGGUAAAGAUGGGCAAUGCAAAUGAAUGGUAUUGAAGCCCAGAGUGAGGGGGGGGGGGGGUGCAAGAGAGCCUUUCACAAAUGUGUGAAAUGUGUUCUCGUUGGCCUUUAGGGAGGAAAAGGGGGACAAGAGACGACAGUUCGGGGAGGCACGGCGGGGACGAGGAGAUCUGUCCUCCGCAGAGACCUUGUCUGUGAGAAGAAGAUACGGGACAUGCUUACAGAUCCAUGGACAAAACCCACACGCACGCACAAACGCACACGCGAACCCAAAACGUCCCAAAAUACAACUCGCUCACUUGAAAGGAGACCCAAAGACUUCACAAAGCUGAAGGAGGGAGAAAAAGCUCUUGAUGGACUGAACGGCAUGAAGUUUUAAAUGUGCUUGGGGAGGAGAGAAAAUAGCUGUCUGUGUCACAUGCUAAAUUCAACACCUUUUCAUAUGUCUGACGCCGGAUUAAACGUGACGUGCCGAUCCAUCAAAGACACAAGAAAAGUUCCUCUCCUUGAAAUUGUGGGUGUUGUGGGAACUUUUGAUGCCCGGUUUUGACAUCACUGCCAUUAUCUCAGUUCCAAAUGACCCCGGCGAGGCCUCCGCUUCACCGACACGCGGCUCCGGAGGCAAGUGAGUGUCGUGCUUCUGAGAUGUUUGUGUGCCAAACACUGGCGGUAAGACGGCUCUUUGCUCAUUCAUGGUUUUGGUGGCACCACUUCUGAACUGGUUGAUGUUUGGUCUCUGGUGCUGCUGCUGAAACAAGUAAUACGACUCAGCCAAGCCCAGGCUGGGAAAAAAAAAUCUAAUUAGCCAUGAAGAAAAGUUAGCAAAGCUCAAAGGGUUAAGACUGGAGUUCGGCUGAACGAUUAGAAAGAGGAAAAACAAACAGCAGGUAGCAGCAGAGUAAAUUCUCAACGAGAAACUGUCCCUCCUUGGGACGGGAGAAUAUAAUGUGGGAGACAUGAGAGACGGAGCAGAACCUAAUUUAAAUGGCGCUUUAUUUUAGAGGUACAAUGGAAAAAAGACCACAGAGGAUUCACUCAUCAAACAACCAGAGAAACGUCUCCAUGGGUAGAGGGAGAAAAAAGGAAUAAUAAUUGUGUACACGCUGAAGGUCUGAGAUUUGUUAUUAUAGGACGGGAGAACAGAGGGAGAAAUAAUAAGCGAGGGGAUUUCUAACGUUAUUUAAAGAAGUUCUAAUCAUUAGUCCGCUGUGCUGCGCGGUCAGAGGAGCCACCGAAGCCUCCUCCUGUGAAAAGAACAUGAUCAAAGAGAACCAAGGUUAAAUAAGUUUACUGCGCACUGAGACCAAAAAGCGGACACGCGUUUCUUCUCCGCUCAAUUCCAGACAAAAAAAAAAAAUCCCUUGUUUGAAAAAAAAGAAAAAGGUCUUGCAGAAAUAUCAGUGAGGAAACGAAACGGAUCGUGAGGUUAAGAUGAAGAUGACGGUGGCUUCAUUUCACACGGGCAUGAUCUCCAUAUGAAAAUAAUCCAAACCUGUGCAAGGUGAGACUCAGCGGUCGGUCAGCUGGACCCUCCAGAUGUCCUCGUGUUUGCCAAGACGGAGCUCGGCCCCCUUUUUCUUUCCCCCCCUUGUGAUCUUCUGCUGUUAAUGAACACCAAUUUCAACAUCUCCUUGAAUGCUUAUUGCAGCGAAGGUCCCGUGAACCGCAGCGUGGUGCUGCUCUUUCUUUUGGCAGCCUGGUUGUUAUUGCAGUUCACUUGUGCAAACAGCCGCUACAGAAUAAUGUGCUCUGUCUCCACACUUACAUUUCUGUUAUUCCUGUUGGGAAUACGCUAAACGCUGGCAGGUUUUCAUCGCCGGUCGAAAUAAUCGUAUAACCCAUGGGUGAUAAAACUUUAUCUACUGGCUCCUGGCUGUUAAUAUAAAACAAUACUAGACACAAAAUUUGUAUGAGCACUUUAAAUAUGAUAUUGAUUGUGCAAUAUAUCUAAGUGCUUCCUCUUCAUUGGUUCUCAUGCGGUAGGUUUUGAAAAAUGCCACAGACCUGCGAUCCCACAGAUUAGAAUGGAUCGCCUUCAAUAUCACCUCCAAUAACUGGUCUUUGUUCCAAAUGGCUGUUCCCCUUCAUUGCAGGAAAAGUCGACUUCCAUUUGACAAGACAUUUGGCACGGCUUAUGUGGCACAAACUGUGCAUAAAGUUUUUACAUUGAACUUUGGGGGGGUUCUGUUGUCUCAGAAAUGGAAAUUUCUGGAUCAUUACAUGCGUUUCUCCCUCCUGUGUAUCAACAGGCGGAAUGUUACAUUUCCCCCUCUGCCAUUAGUCAAGUGGUCUAAUUUAGCGCUGGGGCACUAUUGGGUUUUGUGUGAUAAAUGACCCGUGUGAGAGCGACCCGCGAUGGGUAAUGGGGGGGAGGGAGUUCAGUUACAGGCAUUUAGAAAACAAACAUCCUUUCUUUUGGGGGCAAAGGGGGGUGAAACUGCGGAUGAGACAUAACACCCCGCCUAUACAGUGAAGUCCUCGCGAUAACAUCUGUAGAUCUCAAUUUAACCUUCUAGAAAAGAAGCAAACAUGAAUAUCAUUUGUGUGGUGAAGGACCACGCCGAUGUGUGUUCCCCCGCUCAGUAAUUCUCACCUGAUUUCAUUUUAACACCAAUUCGAUAUAAUAACAGCCACCAGGCCAAACUGUGGUAUGUGUUUGGCUCCCAGUCGCGUUCCUUUGCCAACACUGGGAGGUGACCGAGAUGAACGUGUCCUCACCUGCUAGCUGCGUUCCUACUGUGCCGAGCUCUCAGUCUGCCUCCCCCAUGCCUUUCUUUGCCCAACGGGUUAAUCUCUCAAGGAGAGUACUUUUUCUUUUUGCCAAGUCUCUCUCUGAACCUCAUCUCUGUGGUGGCGAAGGUGAGUCACCACAGCAGGGGUUGGCUGCUACGCCGGGGUAAAUUAACUCCAGGGAGUCUUUGGCUGGCCUCGGAAAAACACAAGCCAUAUUUGUGUCACGAUCUCCAACGGCCCCCUGAAAGAAAACUCAGAUGAAACAACAGCACGGUAUUUAUGGAGCUGUUCCACUACAACAACGUGGUGGUUUCCAUAUAAAUAAUGAAGUAGCGAUGCCGCGUUUGACAGUCGUGCCCUUCGGGUACCCUUGGUGCUAAGCUAAUAUCUGGACCUGGAAUGGGCCCUGUUGCGCCACAUUUCCAAAACGAAAUAUGAUUUUUCUUGGCGGGCUGGUAUUCUUUCAAGCACAGAAUUAAUACGUGUCAAAACAGCUGUUGCAAAACAUCAAUAAACUGUCAAGCAACAGAGAAUGAAAAGAAUUGGCACCGACCAAUAGAAGCAACAGAAAUGUCAUCUGUCUGGGAAGAUUUGGAGAGCUCCCAUGAAGUGGCUCGCAAUUAUGUUGCACAUGUCACACAGACAAGUAGAUAAACAACACUCUUUCAAUUUGUAAUGAAUCAACCACAGACAUUGAUUGGAACGAGUGUUUCAUAAAUGUAAUUGCCUCUUUGAUUGUGAUCAUUGAUCUAAAUCUGAACGAUUGUGUAUGAAAUGUAAAAAAAAAAAGAAAAAAAUUGCUAUUGUCAUUGUGUCAAAAUGGACUUUAUUGAGCUUGAUUUCCAUAUCAGUGUAAAAUAGCACAGCGCUGAUUGAUUUUGAAAGUUUAAGACACUGAGCAGAAAGGAAGUCAUACCUUCGGGGAGGUUUGUAAAAAUGUUAAAAUUUAAAUUGCCCACUGUCUAAUUUCUUUUUCAGUUAAUUUUCACAAUGGAAUGGAAAUAAAACUGUAAUUUCAUGGCGUUCAGUGCGACUUAAAAAGUCAUUAGAAAAAGAGGGAGUGUGGAGGGAGUCGCCAACCUCCGUGACAUGGCCUACAUUCUCUACACCCGAGCUCGGUCUGGAGGCAGUCAGCCGACAAAUAUAUCACCCACCGGUCCGCCAAGACAUUAGCUCAAUGAUAUUUGUAAUGCGACACUUUUGGGAGAGGAAUUUCUCAUUUGGUGACAGAGCAAGGAAGGAUAGAUAUGGUAAACAGUGGCUCCUGAGGAUAAUUCGACCUCGGAGAAGCCAGGCCAUUUAUUUCCCUUAGCUUAAUAAUACAAAUACGAUUGUAUUUUAUGAGCAAGUUCAGCUGCAUCGGGGCAUCUGUGUGGAUUCCAUCAUGAGGUAAUAUUAGGAUGCACAUGGGGUAGGAAAUCCGCAGACAAACAACUUCAAAUGUUUGCUUUGAUUCGAGUGUCAGAACAUCCAACCAGAGUAUCGUACCAAGACAAAUACAAGCUGUUAUGCACUGAGCUGCUUUUGGCAAACAAUAAGAACAAAAUGGUGACCAUUGUAACUUUAAUUACGGGUGGUAUUUUACUUUAGAAUUAGAUCAAAUCCACUUACAAGCAUGUAUUUCAUCGUUAAAAACAAAAUGUUUUGAGGCCACACGGUGAAGUAAAAAGUCAUUGCAUCAACAUUUCAAUCCAUUUUAAUGUGGUGCUCUUAAAACAAUUUACCUCUUAGCUCAUUUAGCCUGUUUUACUGUGUAAUAUCUAGUAGAAUAAUAUCUAUUGGUAGAAAUGUAGUAUUAUAUUCAUUAUUUAUGUACUUUCCUUAGCCUAGAUUGAGCUGUUUGGUAUUUGAUUUCUGAACUGUACAUUUAGUCCAUAAUGUGGUCAGUCAGGUCAGAAUCUAAAUAUCAUUAAGACAUAUUCUAUACUAUUAGAAACUUUAUCAAGGUUCUUCUUUGAACGGCAGUACAGCCCCGGGGGUUGGAGGACCCCCCCCCCCACAAGGAUUCUCUUUUGCCCUAUUAGAAGCGAAAUUACACAUUUUAGACUGACUCAGCAUAUUCAGAAAGCCCAAUUAUUCCAGAUGCCCCUGAUUACCUCUGGAGUCCUGUCACUGCCGUAUAUAUCAAACAACACUUCCACACAGCCCGUCUUUGACAACAAGCACUUUGACUGCUUUAUUUCCCACAUGACAAAGACUUGGGUUUGAGCGCAAAAAUCAUCUUCAAAUAAUGCGGAGGCGCCUUUCAUAUGUUCUCUGCCCAGAGACUCUCAUUAAACAACCGCAGUGUGAAUUUGAUUCUUUGUAUAUGUGUUUGUGUAAUCCUAACGAGUUAUGCAAAUAAAAUAAAGUUUAAAUUAAUUUUAAUGAGUGAGUAACAAAAGGGCCAGAGCUAAUUAACUAAAUUCCGUCUCUUUGAAAAAUGGGUUAUUCUGACCCCCCGUUGAACACAAAACAAAGCCGAGAACAUUAGAAUAUUCCUAAUAAAACAUAUUUAUGUAACACCGUCGGGUUUAUGUGGCCGCGUGUCCCGUGGGAUCAGCAGCCGCAUUUGAAGGUGGGAAUAUAAAGUUUAAGCUUCAAAGCACAAUAAGGUACAUUGUAUUAAUUCAUUCUGCUGCCUGCAGGGACCAGAGGAAGCGUAGAGGCAUUAUGUGCUCAUAUUGGCUCCAUCUCUGCAUCACAUUCUGCCAUUUACACUUUGAAUUGUAGGUGCUGCUGUGAAAAGACAAAAAUAGAUGAACGUAGGGGAACGCCUUCCGUUAAGUCGAGAUCAUUUUCCUGUUUGUCGUCAAGCAAAAAAUAAUAACAAGGGCUGCUGCUUAAGAAGACGUAUGGAACCACCAGGGUGCUGAACCACCAUCAGGUACGCGACCGGCCCAGGAUUCCUAAUAGCGAAUGCAAGGACACGGCCAAGAGGAAACCAUUAACACCGUGAAGAAGAAUCUCACGAUAGAGGUUAGACCAGUGUCAUGUUGUUAAUAGCUCCAAUUACCCGUCAACCAGCAAAUGAGCCAUCAACAUUUACUGCUAGCUCUCAAUCACGCUAAUCGGCCCUGAUGGCUGAAGCUCCCUGCCACGUUCUCCAGCGCUCUAAUGCCAGGUGCUGUUUCUUUAAUCCCCGUGUCUGCCGGCGGCACAUCAAACGCCGCCGCGCCAGCCUCAACAAUCGCCCAAAGUUGCAUCACAGCUCAACUUCCUCGCUUGAGUUUCAGCGAGAAUCACUUCAAAACACAAAAUGAGGAAAAUAAAGAUGUCUUAAAAAAAAAAAGAUAGCUGUGGUGCAGAUACACGGAGCAGGCUGUGACUAAUUCGUUGCCAGAGGCCAGAUUUUAGCUGCUUCCCCUUGAUUUGCAGCCAAUUCCACCACCAACGCCAAAAAGGCUGCACCAACCGCUUCGUGUCUAUGAAAGCAAGCUUUGCAGACAGGGAUGAAAACGGGCCUACGUAGCACAAGGGCCAGCGAGGAGUGGGGAGGUCACGCUCUGUCCGAGUCACAAAACGAUCUCAGGUGUGUUUGCAUGCUUCCAUUUGAGAACGCACUCGGCAGGGUGCAACCAACUGCAAGAGUUUAACCCCACGGAGGUUAAUAGGGAGAAAAAAAGCUAGCAGACGUGCUGUGAGCUAGCAGACAUGCUAAAUGUCUCUUGACUAGCGUUAAUUGUCAGUUUGCAAGCUUGUUAGCAUAAUUGCUAAUGGCACAAUGGGUUCACCGAGUUAAUUCAAGGACACGUUUAUAUUAUCAACUCAGUUCUCAUAACUGUCUGCCAAUGAAUCCUGUUUUAUGGGGCAGUUUAUUCUUUAUUGUAAACCACAAGUAGCCUCUAGAGCAACACCUGGAGCGUCCUCCAUCGGACUCGAGCUCUCAAAGGUCGGCAGCGUGAAGACAGAUUAGUCCAUGUUGAAUAUCUGUGAAACCUUUCAAUUCAACAGAUUUCACCAAAACGUUUCUAAUACUGUAAUGAACUAAAAUGUAUUGCUGUCCACAAAGGCCACUCAGCCUCUAAUGGAAUAAGCCGACUUUGAUAGAUCGGAAUUAUUGAUGCACUUGCAGAUGAAGCCGGAGAUUCUGAAUUUGGCUAAUGAGCUCUGAAGAUGGACAAACCCGGUGACAGUUGUUGUUAUUGGCUUGUUUUAAUUCCAACUAGUUACCAUAGACUUCACCUUUUAAAUAAACACAAUGCAAGCAGCCGCGAGUACCACCAAAUACUAACAAGUAACCAAUACAUCAAGUCAAAUACCAAUCAGACUAUUUAAGUAUAAUGAAAUGUGAAAAAAACAAAGUCUGGGAUGUUUUGGUCCAUUUCAUUCGAUAUCAUCUGUACCUCAUCAAUAUGUAAAGUUAGAAUUCUUUGAUACCCGCUGUGUUGUUUAUUCUAUUUUGGUUUCCAACCAACAGAUGAGGAAUUAAAAAAAGAUCACUGUUUUUGAUGUAUGAGUUUGUACGUGCAGGAAAUUGAAAGUCAAUUAAAACCUUAACGUGAAGGAGCUCAUGCAACAGGGAUGUGUUCCGUUAACUGUCAAUAAAGACAUCCUACAUUCAAAAAAAGAACGCUGUAAACGUAAACCACAUCAACAUGCAAUGCCUCAUGUGACAUUACAGGCGAGAGAUGAUUGGAUUUUUGACAUCUAGUAUUUGGAAAGCUUUGUUUACCCGUUCAACACACAGAGGGGCUCGAUGUUCUCAAUACUUCCCACGCCAUCUGUCUCUCCUCUGAUUCUUUGGGCGAAGACAACCAGAGAUGCUCCUCGUAGUCUCAUCGUGGAGCAGUUCAAGUCCCCGUUGCCAGAGAUUCACAUUUGCAUUUUAUAUCAAAGUGCGAGAUCACUCGCUUGUUUACGAGCCAGUGUUUUACAUCAAAACAACAGCACGGCCUUCUGGGAAAAUUUGAUCGAAUGUACACCUUGAAGUUCGUGAGGAUAAUGAUUAGAGAGCCGGUAUAUCCUCACGCUCUACUGAGAGCAUCGUCUGGAGCAGCUUCUGCGCUUGUUUCUCACUGAAUGUAAUGAAUUUCUUUUCCAUAAUUGGCUUACUACUCGCAAUUAUUUCAAUCAUUCCGUCAUUGAAGGCAUUGUUCAUCUGUUACAUUGUUCAUUCUGUACUUGGAAGGGUUUCAUUUUUCCUGUGCAGAGGGUUUCAGGACAGAGGAUGUCGCAUGUGUACAGACUGUAAAACCCUCUGAGGGAAAUUUGUAAUAUGCGAAAGAAUAAAAUAAUUGAAUAAUUCUCCAGAUUCAAAGAACAUAAAUUUAGCUUAUCAUUAAAUUGCCAUAGCGAGUACGUACGUAUACGACAUUAGAAGAUGAAUUAAGAUAAAAGUUACACUAUACAUAACAUUAACAUAUUUACCUUUAGAAAGAUCCUUUUACAUCCUUUUAUAAGAGGUUGACAUCAUGGAAAAGUAUUUUCACUCCAUGUAAAGGUGUUAAAUGUAUAAUUGAUAGAAUACCAGCUUAUUGCUUUGUUGUCAUUUGUGUUUUAUUUAAAAAAUUAAAAUAAAAACACACUUGUAUAUCUUAAGCUUGAAGCCAAACGACAUAAUUAGGGAAAUUUGGGGGAAAAAUCUCCAUCUCUUCUGUCGAUGUGUUCCUUUGCCUCCUUCACUUGCAGUGAUGUUUUCUGUGAAACGCAAUUUCAUUUCUAAUGAAAACAUAACUGGAGUAUUAUAUAAUAACAUUAUUAUUAAAAAAGCCUAAUUGGAGAGGGGUUUGCAAUGUUAAUUUGACUUAAUUUAAAUACUAGGAUAGAGGGACAUGUUGGGCCCCGUCGCACUGAUUCCGUCUCCGUCCAGAGGUUCCACUCAGACAACCGAUAAACGCAGCGUUCAAGUUCCCGUCUUCUCCGUGAGAAGAGCAGGAAUAAUGGCACCAUUAACCAACCCGUUAACAAUGGAGAAAAUCACUGUUUACCCUUUUGGCAAAAGUAAGAGCUCCCUGUCUGAGGAAACUGAGACUUCCUGUGCACCCACAAUGCAUUGUGCUCCGGACCCAUCUCGUUUAUUUGGCCCCCGUGCAAUCACGUAAGUGUUCCACGGCUGCACAUUCGCAUCCAUUGUCUCCAUUGUCCUCCGCGCAUUAUCACAGACCAUAUAUACACGUAUAACUGGCAUCAUUUAUGACGGCCUGCUGCGAUUACCUUUUGUAAGCUGUAUUUUCUCUGUAUUUAAGCAACUUUCUUGUUCUCUACCUGGACGUUGUCCUCACUCUGUCAUAUCUGAUGGAUCUGUGGCUGUGUGGAAAGUUCUGCCCUACUUUUAGAAGAGGGGAGGUCCGGGGGUGAGGAGGAAAGGUUUGCCUCAGGCGUCUGCAGCUGUGAGAUGGUCUGUUACUGGGAGUGUUUCCCACCCCACUGGGACAAAAACAACUCUCUGGUCAGUCUCAAUCUCUGCCCCACCUGGACGGGAGGGAUCUGCUCCGACCCUCUUUCAUGCAGCACAUGUGUAUCCGAAAUGGCUCAUGCCCACAGUCUCUCCGUGCCCAAUUGGUUUCUUCCUUGUUUUUAUGUCUAGCAGACAGCAAUUAAUGUAUGUUGCUCUCCCGUGAGACUCGGGGAGGAUAUUUAUUGGAAGAUCGAUGCUUGUUUUCUUCACUAUUAUUCCAAUUUCACGGAGCAACUCAAACUGAUUCAGAAUGAACCUGUGUUCCUCGCACUUUAUUUUCUUGUGCUUUUCAACAACCUCUAUUCCGAAGGUCUGCUAAAGUUUUGCGUGGCCGUCGCCUUGACGCCAUUCAAUGUGUCUUCAUCGUAACACUGUAAUCAGUCAUCAACAAUCACUUUCCGAUCCCCACGUGCUUGUAAACACGUGAAAAGGACACACGUAACAAUGCAAAUACAAUGUUGUCCGUUUUUUCAAAGUGCUCCCAUGUGGAGGAUUUAAUAUGUGAAAGGGAAGGAUCAGCCAGCGGCAGCGUGGCGACACGUAAACGCUCCACUUGUGAACCCUCAGCGGGUGUUGAGACACGCUUUCACUCGACGACAACAGCACCCACCUGUAAUAUGUACGACAUGAAAUGACUGCUCUUUGCACACUCUCCAGCGCGUGUUCACUUUCUUCCUUUCACAUUUCUUGUUCAAUGUCGUAUUUCCUCCGCAAAGCAACAACCAGGGAGACAAGUUGCUCAGGGAUCUAUUAAUAAUGCAUCAUCACUCAGCAAACUGUGGGGAGGCUUAAUGUGCCGUGACCAUUUCUCUUUUUCUGAGAGCUUAUUUAAUUGUGAAAUAUUUAAGACGCAUAUCCUCCCAACAUAAGGUUGUGUCACUGAACUGACGUACAUCUAUUUUAAAGCGCGUCGCUGUGACGGGACUCUCUCUCUCUGCCGUCUGCUCCCAGCAUCUGCCGGCGUAUUUGAUGGCGCAUCAGAGGACACAGUAAACAUUGACAGGAACAUCUAUCUUCCCACCAACCUGUUUUUAUGGAUUCAUCCCAGUUUAGAUGCCAGCUGCCACACAUCCAGCCGAGCAGUGAUCAUUAGCAGCUGCGUCAGGUGAGGAUGCCACACAAGAAGCGUUCUGAUUGCCGUGUCCGUGCCGGGGAAAAUAGGGCCCAUUAGCCGAAGUGAACUCCCACUCUGAUUAUGAUGACAACGUAGCGAUAGAUUAGCAAUAUAAAUACUUGAAAGACAAUUAGCAGGAGCCUUUCCGACUGUUACGCCUUCAUGUCAACUGUGCAGUAAUUUAACAGGAUUCGUUCCUCACAGGCGCCGCCUACUUCGACUUCGUCCGAGCAGGUGCGCCGUUUCUUCUCAGGGUUAAAUUAUUUCUUCCUUGAUAAUAUCAAACUACAGGUAUCUGGUAUUUAUGGACACAUCAAAGUCAUUAACACUUAGAUAUGAACCACCAAGACACGGCCGCGUCCGUUAAAAGCAGAGCUUAUUAACGAGGAACGGAGGAACACGGCACACGGACUCAAUUAGAGACGGACAGGUACGUGGGAGUUAGAUUGUGUACCUGUGUGAGGAAAGUGUGGACUCUCCGUCGCAGAUACAAUGUCAAUGGAAGCCUUCAUGUCUGAAGAGAGUAGUCAGGUUAGAAUUUAAAAUGAUGCCGCUACACCUGCGUACCUACACAGGUAACUGUCAAACGAAGAUGUCAUUGAGCUUUUAUUUGUUCUUCGGUUUCUUACUUUGUGAUUCAGUCACAUGCAUACGUUCCUCUCUUUUUUUCCUUCUCUCAGCCUUCGAUCCAAAUAGCGACGUGAUGUAACUGCUCCCUGACUCCUCGUGGAAUAAGAAUGUCCUCCGUCAUUUUCAUGGACGGCGUGCACUCCUGACGAAUGUUGCUCUCUGGUCCCCAAAAAGAGGCGGCGAAGAAGCACGUGAAGAAUUUUUCAUCUGCGAACCAAAAAGAGACGGAUUAAAUGUUCCCACUCUCAGAGACUUAAAGUCAAACGGAGAACGCGCCCACAUGCGGGCGCGCGCCGUACGCGUCAGUUUGCACACGCGGGGCUUAAGCGCCCUAAUGGACCCGCCGCCGCCCGCGGGCUGCUUAGGGGUGCCCACACUGUACAGUGCGUGGGAACGCGUGUGUGUGUGUGUGCAUCACACAGUGCUAUAAACAAAGCAGCGUGUGUUCUGCCGAGGGGCACUGCGCUUCACAACGACAUCCCGACUGCGUUCGCUGUUUAUUGAGUCUGAGGUGAAUAUUCUAUUGAAUAAAGUGCGUCUGUGAUCUUCAGCAGGUAGUGAUGUCGCAGUAAACAAUACUUUCCCUCAAAGUUAUGCAGCGGCAUCGCAGAUCCAUUCCUCGCACACCUCCACCGACGCGAAUACACAGGAGCGCGCACACACACACACACACACACACACACACACUCUCAAAGCCAAAAAGAGGACGUGAGGGGGUUUCUGCCUCAGUUGAGUUUGGUCGAGGGGUCACCUGCCGCGUGUGGAAAACUGUAUAACUUUACAUUCUAAUAUUAUCUUCCACCCGGUAACUCCGCCGCUGCAUGUGCUUCUCCUCCAACGGACGUUGGUGUGUUUCGCUCCCGAGCGUCAGCAGAGCCCCGACCGAAAACGACCCGUCAAAGAAAAGCGCCGUCCCACUGACGUCCCCUCAUUGUCGUGUCUGAUUUUGUUUUAGUCGGGCUGCUGCGGUGUUUUAUGUGCGCGUUGUAAUGACAGUGUUUGUCCCCCGAUGUCUCCAAUGCCCGGGCGCGUGCGGUCAUUCUUCAGCUGUCACUUUGUGUUAAGUGCCACCGAAAUGCCACCGAAAUGCCCCCGAAACGCCCCCAAGCCCGUCGAUUCCUCCAUUUGUCCGCUGUGUUUGUCCAUUUCUAUUUGCUGCGUCUCUUCUUCUCGACGCUCACUGUUGUUAUAAAACAUUCAGUGAUUCUUCACCUCGUUUGGGUUUUUUAAAAGGUUUUUUUGAACUAGACUCUGUCUAAAAAAUACUGCUAUUUUAUUGCAUAAUCCUGCGUUAAGAACACAAACAGUUUCUCUGAGCGAACCAAGAAAAAUCACAGUUCUUAAAGAUGCUAAAGGGUUUUUGAUCCCGUAACCUUUGAGCUAAUGAGACGCCCUACUUGAGGACGUUGUUCCCAACGUAAUCCAGGCCAGACAACGCGCAGCGUACGUGCCGACCUCGACCCCUGAACCUCAAACCUCGACCUGAGGUUGAGGCUGACGCUGAUCUGCUCUGGGGAUCCAGACGGAGGGUCUCGAUCCGUAUCAGUCGGCCCUUCGGGGAUCCGUCGGGUGAACUGAAGCAACGUGAGAUCGCGGAGCCGAUAGCCACGACUUAUUUUCCACAGGCGGGUUCUACUGCACGUGGUUCAGGUUGUCACUCGUUCACUCGACACUGAAAACACUGUAGCUUUAGUUGGUUCCCAUUACGGCGAUGGACAAAAAACCUUGCCGGUUCCGAGAUGAUUGCGAGAGAACAAACAGGAGGACAGACGUGUUUACCGCUGUGUUAUCAGACGUGAGAGGAAGCCGCGUACAGUGAUGCCACUGUAUCGAUUUUAAUUAUCCCAUUACUGAGCCUGGAGGUCUUAUGAAAACAGAUAAGCUAAAGACCACCAACUAAUUACAAACAGAGUGGCAUUUAUUUAGCCGUUGAUUAAAGUUGCUUCGAUUUAUGUUAAAUAACUGUGAUUCAAAUGCAAAACGUAUCGGCUCUGACGGGACGAGCGAGAGGAGGAGAGAGAGGUCCUUUCUGUAAUGCAUAUAACACACACAUAGAAGCUGCUCACUAUUUAUUUGCAGCUGUAAACACUAUUUAUAUGAAACAUAUUUAAUGCUCCAUAUAUGUAAUUAGAUAUAAUGCAUAAUUGCUUUUGAAUCCCUUUUGUAAGCAUCAUCAUGUUUAGAAAGUUGUUGAACUUAAUAUUUACUAAGAGCUUCCAAUAAAUUUAUCCAAGGACUCCAAACCACAACAUUAAAAUAGUUUGACAAUUGAUCCAGUGCUGUAAAAAGAUGAACUUCUGAAUGCAUUAAAGCUUUUGGGGUCAUAGGGUUUUUUUUUUAAAGUGUUUUCCUACUUUGACCUCCUGUCCAGAAGUGUUCGCACUGAAAAGAGCAUUUUGCAGCGCUGAAUAUCACUCAGGAAGGUCGUGUGUCAUUGUAAAUGUCUCAAGCAGCACGGCCGUGGGCAUUGACUCGUUCUCGCUCUCCUCCCGUCCAGAGAUUCUCACUGCAAGUCUUCUUUCACGCACAAACGGCAUUUUUCAGACUCGGCCGGCUCAGGAACAGAGGCGGGAGAAUGCAGAAGAAGGGAAGAAAGGGGGGAGUGAGCCGGGGGAGAGAAACGGGGAGUAGCAGAGUGGAGAGGUGAGGCCCGGAGGCUUGAGCGCCGCCACAAACAGUGGUGACCUGGAAAGCUUCUGUGUGGUGGAAAUCAGCUUUGAGAAACCCUUUUAGAGGCCUCUUCAGGGGAUUAAGACUGUUUGGGGUCUCUGCCUCCCUCUCUGUGUGUGUGUGUGUGUGUGUGUGUGUGUGUGUGUGUGUGUGUGUCUUUAGUACGUGUUGAGAUGUCUAUUGUAAACCAAUGAAGAAAGCAUCCGCUGGAUUUCUGUGCUGUUGGUCUGUGUGUGUGUGUGUGUGUGUGUGUGUGUGUGUGUGUGUGUGUGUGAGAGAGACAGGAAAAGGCUGAUUGGCACUUUAGUAUCACAGUGAGGCAGAAGAAGGUUUGAGGAAGGGAGGUUGAUUUAAACCUCACGGGGCCUCGGCCUCUUUGGAGCACAGACUUACGUAAAGCGCAGCGAGGGACGCCACACUGAACGUGAAUAAAAACCAGCCGGGAAUCUAUUUCCUUUCAGUCCUCCGUGCUGAACCAUCGGAGCUCUCACAGCUUUUAUUGGCAAUCUACCAGCGUGGAACUUUGAAUAGAACGCGGCAUUAGAAAGACAGCAAAAACAUUAUAUUUUGGCUGUGAGAAAUGUUAAUUUAACGGAUAAAUAACUCUCGUUUAUUGUAACUUGGAACUUAUUUUUGUAGUUUUUGACAGCAUUUCUUUCCGUUUUUUGAUUAAAUUGUAACCACCACAGUAAUUAUAUAUAUACAUAUAUGUUUGUGUGUGUAUGUGUAUUACUAUGUUAAACAAGGCAGGAGACAGGAGCAGCACGGAGCAUAAAUAUAAGUGAUCGGGAAGAGAAAGCAGUGAGAAGCAUAAUCACCUCCACGGUUCACUUUCCGGUUCAACUUCAAAUGAGUUUUCUUGUUUAGAAACAAAUAAAAAUAGCACAGCGACUAACUUCAACGGGUCCGAUGUUACCGAAUCCGAACGCGUCGAAGGCCGAGCUUCGCGAGCGAGAUCCGAGUGGCAACAAAGCGGUGAAGGACGCGAGGAGACAAAGAGUUGAAAGGUGCUUUUGUGCCUCCUUCUCUAAUCGGCGGGACGGCGACGGGGGGGAACGGACGCGACCCGACCCGACCCCCGGUGACGAGCUAAUCGCCGCCGCCGCCACAUCAAACGUGCGUCGCGCGAGCUGCCGCGCGGCCGCCGCCGCCGCCGGCGCCGUUUCCACAAACUCGGGAUGCCGGAUUACUUUUGACAGAAAACAUACAAAUAAAACAUUACCGGGGCUUACCGAGAGAGCGCGCGCAGAUACCCGCCGAGUAAAUUAUUCAUCCGUUGACUCGCUGAUGGAAUGAAAGCCUCUGUCUUCCCUCUAAUCCCCGGCAAAGCUUUCGGUAAUAGUGCAGCGCUCGAGAGUUGCCUCGCACGAGGCUCCAUUCAUCAACUUUCCCGCUGUAUGAAGUGCGGCUCCCGCGUUAACGCGGCGUUUAGCCUCAAACGGGCCCUCGCUCUAAUGACUUGGCUGCGAUGGUGAUUGCUUUGAUUUUAAUUGGGAUGUUCUAAUCCAGCUGUCUCCCACCGGUUAGACAAGGGCUGCUCGCGGUGAGUCUUUCUGCGGCGCUCCGGAGCCCGACGCGGGGCCGUGCGGUGGCCCCGUGGAGCUCAGCGAGGGGGGGGGGGGGGAUGAUGAGAGAUGAAAAAUAGAAGCCAUCGAUGUAGGAAGAGUCACAAAUAGGAGAGCGUCCUUGGUCCCCCGGGGGACGGGUUACGCCACAGUAAAGCACCAUUUAGUUUGUCCAUCCUUGAAAGACUAAGCCAGGAGGUCCCAGGGGACCAAUAGAGAGCGGGAGGGGCUCACCUGGUGCACACGUCCCUGCAGGGAACCGGAGGAUCACACCAGCGCUGGGCUGUUGUUUCUUAAGUGCAGCUGAGCCUGAAUGGAUUCCAAAUCAAAAAAAGCCUCCAAAUGCUCCUCUUGACAGUUUUACUCCCAAUUAUUUGCUCGUCUUUGAAUGUGGAGGGCUUCAUUUCCAUGUUCUACUUUUUGCACAAAACAUGUUGUUUUCUCACGCGCCGCUCCGACUGUCCUUCGCUGGGGGGGGUUGUGUGAGGUCGCAGCACAGAACGCCUUUAAAGGCUUCCUGGGGAAAUGGUACACGCUCACGUAUGAGUAAGUAUUAAACUUCUGGAGGACUAUAACAAAUGAAAGCACACGCUAAAGAGUGAAUUUCAUCUGCAUACACCAGCAAAGUGUGGGAGGAAAUGGCAAAAUGAAAUGGAGAAAUGACUUGUUUAUACCGACCAUGUUCAUUUAAAAUGAGCACAGCCGUAGAGGGCGGUGAGAUCCACACAAGUCAUCUCAAACCUACAGGCCGAGUGUCAUUGAGCGGCUCCAUCGGGCUCCCCCCUGUUGGCGGGAACUCCUCGUUUGGUUAUUUUGGAUCUUUUUGUGCAAACGCUUACGAACUUUUAGGGAUUCGCUCAGAAAAACUGAAACAUUUUAAGAGAAGAUAACGAGUUUUGUUCAAGCAAAACCCAGGGAAUAAUCUGUUUCAUCACCUCGGAUCUCCAAAGCAAACGUUCGGCCCCAAGAGCUCAGGCACGAACAACAAGAAUGGGUGCCGAUGUCCGUGCUGGUACCAAACAGAGGGUGGUAGAAAGCACAGGGAGUCACAUCACCUGCAUCUCAUCGGUCAUCCCGACCCCCUCUGAAGGACGUGUCCCGAAUAAAUGAUGCCCAACAAAGAAAGUCAGCUGUCGCUACGAGUGAGCUGCAGUCUCUUAUUCCCCUUUGCCUAAACGGUCAUAACUCAAAAUGUGAUGUUGGGAAUAGAAUUGUAUAUUAUGGGGCGGCAGAGCUGUGGAUUAGGUAACUGAUGUCUGUGAAGAGGGCGAAAUGAAAGUACUUUCGGCCACGUUUAUGUUGUUGUUGUUAUCAGUGAAAUGAGCUCCAGCUGCAGGUGACCCGCGAGUCCUUCUGGGCUCCGUGUGAUUCACCGGACCGGAGGGGGCGGAUGGGUGGGAGCAGUGACGGACACAUGAACCAUGGCGCUCUCGGUCACUGCUCGAAUGGCCUCCGUUGCGUGGGACAGAGAAGUGAUGACUUUGUAUUUUCCCUUUGGACACAGGACUUGACUAAUUGUGAACAGGAUCCCCACAGGGGGGGAGGGGUGGGCAGGUAUUCAUUAUCCCACGAGAACAGGACAUUCAUUACAAAGACCUGGAAGUUGGUGAUGAAUCGAUGUUGGAAUUAUAUUUUUUAAGGCGCCAUCAGUCAUUGUGUCACACUCCCCACAAUGACAUCACCGUUGUUCCACAUCCCCCUGCUGGGAUCAACCACCCUCAAUGACUAUGGACUGUACACGGCAUGAGUGGCCGGACGGAUACGUGGACGGAUGAGGGGUUAUGGGUGAGCGAGAGGAGCAAAGGCAAAGAAGAAAUAUUCCCCAGCAUGCUUCUUUCGAGCCUUUACUCAGAGGAUACCGGCGGCUAUCAACUCACUCACACACACACACACUGAAAACACACCUCUCUUUUUGAAGAUAUGUUCCCACAUGCACUUGUAUGGAAUCACUCCUGAUUUGCGAUCCCCCUCCUCCCUCCCUUUUUCAUAUCACCUUUUGUGUGCUCGGCUUUGUGAAUAUUUCUCCUCUGAACCUCUCAGUAAGUUUUGACAGGGUGCUUUUCUGUCUGAACUGAUUCCAAAAGAGGAGAAUGUAAAAGCGCCGCAUCCAUUAUUGAACAACGUCACAACCUGGGAUGCCUCCGCCCAGACACCCACGCUCCACGGGCCUCUUCCGGUCCCCCCGGUGAGCAGUCGCACACGACUCGUGCAAAAUAUUGCGUUUAACGUCUCCUCCUUAAAUAAUGAAAUGGGAGGAAUUCGCUCCCCGUGAGCUCUGCCUGAGGUCGUACGCCAUUUUUACAAGAGGGUUCGGGCAGGUCAUGAAAAAUGCUAUUUGAUAGCAGCUUUUAUUUCUGCAGCCUCUGCAUCAGCCCGGUAAAGUUUACCAUAAGGGAUGGUUUAAUGAUAACUGACAAGGACACACAGGGCUGCGAGGAAGGUGCGGUAUUCUAAUUAUUUUAGCGUGCCUUGUGUUCCGGCGUCUUGUGGGCCCCGCGGUGAUCAAAGCGGUCAGGAGCCUAUCAGGAGGCUCGGGGAAGAAGACGCAUUCGCCUUUUGUCGGUGGAGAAAUAGUCUGUGACAGCAACAUUGUGUCUGCACGCCACUUCCAUUGCUGCGUCUCCUCCUUUAGAAGAUUAAUUGAAAAUAAAAUCACCACAAUGCUUUCAAGGUUAAUAUAACACAUGUUCAAUUAAGUGCGGGGGAAAUCCGCAGCCGCACUGUGUUUUUUAGAGCGCUCCGCUGGCAGGAGCCUUACUGUUCUCCAUGCGUCCUAAUGAUAAGCUCGCCGUCUCUCUCCCCCAGUUAUUUGUAAUUAAGUUUCUUUGCAGCAUUUAGCUGGAAAGAUGUCAAAGAGGAGAACAGCGGCGAGGAGGAGUGGGGGGAUGGAGUGAGCUGGGGGCUCAAGCUGCCCUAUUCCUGCGUAAAUGUAGAGGGUGAACAGGCUUAGUGAAUUUCAAAGUCACCCAGGCGGCUUAAUAGCUUCCCUAAAUGACUCAGCACAUUAUUUCCAGGGCGUACAGUAGUCCAUUACACGGUGCGUUACCACGCCCGUACCGGGGCCCGGACUCCCUCCUGGCGCGGGCCCCUGGCGUGUGUUCAGCAAACCACUUGAGCCUGAAUGCAAAAUGAAGUCCCUUGGCUACAACUUUCAGGACAGUUGAGUCUCUUCAGUGCUCACCGACGGCGCCCGGAGGCCGCCGGUGACACCAGUAAGCCCCGUCCCCACCUCCAGCUCCGGUGGCAAAGUUGAUUGCAGAAAGCGUAUUGCGGUGGCCACGGGCGCGGAUGUGGAUGGAAUGAGACAGAAAGAGGGAGAUAAAUAGAGAGGGAGGGGAGGGAGCAAGAGAGAGCAAUUAGUGGUGCUCUACAGCAUAAUCCCUUGGAGACAAGGCCCAUCAAUCAUGCUACUAAUCCUUUGUUUCUCAAUAAAGAUAACCAUGCUGCAGGGAGUUAACAUUUUCUUAAUAAGUCAUCCUACCGUAGUACACCUGAAAUGCCAGAUUGGCCCAGAAUUAUCUGUAUCCUCAAUGUAUGACAUUGAGUUGAUAAGACCUAUUGAACCGGUGUGCUGUUUUGAUUAUGGACGAGCUGGCGAACACAGCGCGUAGAUAAUGAAGGACGUGCCUGGACAAAGUCCUCCGACCUGAAAGACAAAGCUGUUUUUGAGAGGCUCUGCUGGUCGGCAGGACUGCAUGCCUUCCAAAGCUGUUUGAAAUGACUGAUUGAUGAUAAUAACCAGCAAACAGAUCGUUUUUUCCCAUAUUUCCAUUGUUACUUUACGCCAUCCUAAAUAUAACUACAGGGUUUGUCCACUAACGCUCACAGAAUGCUCACAGGAGACGUCGAUUAGAAAGGGACAUGUGUUGCGUGAUUGUGUAAGUUAAUGUGAAAGAACACAACUCGUGUAGGAUACCAUCUGCCUCCUCUGCUUUUCGUCCGCCCCGUAAAAGCUUUGAAGAGACGUCUCCAUGUGUCCUUAGAACGUGUGACGAGACGUUGACUGUUGCACCUUCACUUUCAUGGCGGCUGUCUUGUAAAAGUCCGCUGAGAGAACUUUUCCUAGAUAAGCCAUCGAGACGCGACGCGAACCUUCCUUGAAAGAAGCUAAAACAUCAUUAACUGCAUUCAAACGUCUAAUUAAAUAAGUUUAGGUUAGAUUGAAGAUCUAAUUGCGAGUCGUACCUUUGAGGCACUUGCUCCGGUAUUAUGCCACAGAAAAAGAGUUAGCUGGAAUAUUCAUUAUGGCAGCCCAAAGGCACUGCUUCCAGAAUGAACCAUCCUUCUAAGGAGCAUAAAGGGAACGCCGGGAGGCAAAUAACACAUCUCGUGGUCCCUCGACUUCCUGCUAAUCGUGCAUGUUUUUUGUUGGAACAACGUUUCCUUGAGAAGUCCAUGAAGGCGACCGUUGUAAAUCAAGUCGGCUCCAAAUCGAAUGAAUUCACCGGUGACCUUGAAGGCCUCGCUUUGUCCCAUUCACGGCGCUUUCCUCGUGCACGGGCCAGACCAAUCCAUCACCAUCUCUUGUUCACCUUUGUCGCGCAGACGACACGUUGCACCUUGUUUUUCUGCCUCUCAUUUCUUUUUUUCCCUCGUCUUUCUAUCGUCGUCCGCGCUCUGUAUCCUCCUGCCGGAGACGUCUGCCGCGAAUACGUUGGUGUGUGCCGUCAUCGAUCGCUUCAAGGUCAAGAGUGCUUAAGCUGGAUAUUAAAGAGACGGACGGCUGCACGGGGGGCCGAGCGAGAUGGCAACACAAUGCAAUCAUAACCCGAUGCCCACUGUCCACCCCGCGCGCGAGCGCACACAACCUCGCGCGGCGCGACGGGAGAGCGCCGAAACACCGGCGGAAGAGGGUGAGAAAUGGAUUGACGAGAGAUCGCGUCUCGGAGACGAUCUAAUAUCAGCAUGAGCGCGCGAGUCCACGGCGGUUAGGGCGCGGGCCAACAAACAAACAAACAAGCGCGCCUGCGCGGGGCCCGCGCGCACUCUGGGCGCGGAGAUUGUCUGAUAGGAAUCGUAAUGGCUCAUUAAAGCACCAAAGUGAUCCUGUGGACGGGUCCGGGAGGAGGAAAACCGAGUGAAUGAUUGAUACGGUGAUACAGAGCGUGCUCCCUCCACCAGCCCAUUAGGCGUGAUUUAGAGGGAAUGUGGAGUGCAGCCGGAAUAGAAAAGGAGGCUACUGCCUUUACAUGUUUGAUUCCAACCUACUCGGUGACUGAUUGAGAGCGCACAAGAAGACGAGUGUGUUUUGCAGCAUCACAAGAUCCCAUCGCUGUUCAUAAUGGAAUCUGGGAGAGCCUGAUUGCACAGGUAACUGCCGCCACAUAAUAGGUGGCGCAAUUUGCUGAUGCGCCCCUCUCCGUACGCCCGCCUAAUUGUAUUUUUAGGCUUUCCUUUGAGUUACGAGCGGCGCGGGGUCGCGACGAGGCCGCCUGUCGGUUGUUGGUGGAGAACCAGGCUGGAGUGAAAUAGUAUAAUGGCGCGGAAGAAAGAACAGUGCAAAGCAGCCCGUGAUCAAGGGCUGCUGUAAUUUCCCCAGAUUGGAUGUUAUUCACUGAUGGCCGUGCACGGCGCGGUUUGGUGUGGUUUGGUUUGGUUCGAUUACUUCCACACGUUUCACAGUUACACACCAUCAACUUAGUUUCCUUCACUACAUCCUUCUUUAAAAAGCAGGAACAGUAAAUCAUCUCACAGCACUAAUACACCUGUGGAGAGUUGACAACGUCGCUGGUCGGCGCUGAUGAGUGAAGGAUUCCUCUGCCAGGUGCGACGCCUCCUCACCGUCUGGCACCGGAAGAAGCUCGCGGUCCGCUCGCCCUAUCUACUCGGGUUUCAACUGUUCAGCAGCAGAUAUUACGCCGCUGCUUCCACAGCAGCACCCAAAGUCCCCGGUGUGGAUUGCCAAAAAUGCAAAUGCAGGUGUCUUAUAACUGUGUGGGAGAGAAGCGACUGAGGUGGAGCCACUGGCUCAUUAGAGCAGGUGACGUCCGGCGAUACAUUCUUGAUGGCGAGUGCUCACACUCUACAGGGAGAUUUAUAACGAUGGAGGAUAGUUUCAGACGCGGCGGGGGGGGAUUAGCUUAGAGACUUGGGCCGAAGGGAAGGUGGAACAAAAAGAUUGUUCCUAAUUGUG